This 19-nucleotide small nuclear RNA is filed under the name Arabidopsis thaliana (thale cress). RNAcentral's name for it is "snRNA_15609". The record is from RNAcentral. Lineage: Eukaryota; Viridiplantae; Streptophyta; Magnoliopsida; Brassicales; Brassicaceae.
UCCAAUGUCUUUUCUAGUU